Molecule: ribosomal RNA, 1351 nt
Filed under: uncultured bacterium
Lineage: Bacteria
Description: bacterial SSU rRNA
Rfam family: Bacterial small subunit ribosomal RNA
Source: RNAcentral
GACGAACGCUGGCGGCGUGCUUAACACAUGCAAGUCGAACGGAAAGGCCCUGCUUUUGUGGGGUGCUCGAGUGGCGAACGGGUGAGUAACACGUGAGUAACCUGCCCUUGACUUUGGGAUAACUUCAGGAAACUGGGGCUAAUACCGGAUAGGAGCUCCUGCUGCAUGGUGGGGGUUGGAAAGUUUCGGCGGUUGGGGAUGGACUCGCGGCUUAUCAGCUUGUUGGUGGGGUAGUGGCUUACCAAGGCUUUGACGGGUAGCCGGCCUGAGAGGGUGACCGGCCACAUUGGGACUGAGAUACGGCCCAGACUCCUACGGGAGGCAGCAGUGGGGAAUAUUGCACAAUGGGCGGAAGCCUGAUGCAGCAACGCCGCGUGCGGGAUGACGGCCUUCGGGUUGUAAACCGCUUUCGCCUGUGACGAAGCGUGAGUGACGGUAAUGGGUAAAGAAGCACCGGCUAACUACGUGCCAGCAGCCGCGGUGAUACGUAGGGUACGAGCGUUGUCCGGAUUUAUUGGGCGUAAAGGGCUCGUAGGUGGUUGAUCGCGUCGGAAGUGUAAUCUUGGGGCUUAACCCUGAGCGUGCUUUCGAUACGGGUUGACUUGAGGAAGGUAGGGGAGAAUGGAAUUCCUGGUGGAGCGGUGGAAUGCGCAGAUAUCAGGAGGAACACCAGUGGCGAAGGCGGUUCUCUGGGCCUUUCCUGACGCUGAGGAGCGAAAGCGUGGGGAGCGAACAGGCUUAGAUACCCUGGUAGUCCACGCUGUAAACGGUGGGUACUAGGUGUGGGGUCCAUUCCACGGGUUCCGCGCCGUAGCUAACGCUUUAAGUACCCCGCCUGGGGAGUACGGCCGCAAGACUAAAACUCAAAGGAAUUGACGGGGCCCCGCACAAGCGGCGGAGCAUGCGGAUUAAUUCGAUGCAACGCGAAGAACCUUACCAAGGCUUGACAUGUGCCGGAUGGCUCCGGAGACGGGGUUUCCUCUCUUUGUGGGGGGCUGGUUCACAGGUGGUGCAUGGUUGUCGUCAGCUCGUGUCGUGAGAUGUUGGGUUAAGUCCCGCAACGAGCGCAACCCUUGUCUCGUGUUGCCAGCACGUUGUGGUGGGGACUCGCGGGAGACUGCCGGGGUCAACUCGGAGGAAGGUGGGGAUGACGUCAAAUCAUCAUGCCCCUUAUGUCUUGGGCUUCACGCAUGCUACAAUGGCCGGUACAGAGGGCUGCGAUACCGUGAGGUGGAGCGAAUCCCUUAAAGCCGGUCUCAGUUCGGAUCGGUGUCUGCAACUCGACACCGUGAAGUUGGAGUCGCUAGUAAUCGCAGAUCAGCAACGCUGCGGUGAAUACGUUCUCGGGCCU